GCGGCGGGCUGGAUAUUUCCGGCCGCAAUCCCGCAGGUGCCGGGCUCGGCAACCUGCUGAAGCGGUGCGUCCGCUGGCUCAGCCAAUGCAGCCCCUACGAUCUCGCCUCCUGCGCCGCGCUGGCCGCGCUUGUUGCCCUCGCGAUCUGGACUUUUCAGGACUAUGCGAUCUCCAACGACGAAGGCGUGCAGCACCGCUACGCCGAACUGAUUGUCGCCUA
RNAcentral lists this unclassified non-coding RNA (220 nucleotides) under Hevea brasiliensis (rubber tree). The record is from RNAcentral. Lineage: Eukaryota; Viridiplantae; Streptophyta; Magnoliopsida; Malpighiales; Euphorbiaceae.